CGAACGGGUGAGUAACACAUCGGAACGUGCCCAAUAGUGGGGGAUAGCCCGGCGAAAGCCGGAUUAAUACCGCAUACGACCUAGGGGUGAAAGCGGGGAUCGCAAGACCUCGCGCUAUCGGAGCGGCCGAUGUCAGAUUAGCUAGUUGGUGGGGUAAAAGCCUACCAAGGCGACGAUCUGUAGCUGGUCUGAGAGGACGACCAGCCACACUGGGACUGAGACACGGCCCAG
This 231-nucleotide ribosomal RNA is filed under the name uncultured bacterium. RNAcentral describes it as "partial 16S ribosomal RNA". It matches the Rfam family "Bacterial small subunit ribosomal RNA", at positions 99 to 334 of the family's 1533-position model. The record is from RNAcentral.